CAAUAGCGUAUAUUAAUGUUGUUGCAGUUAAAAAGCUCGUAGUUGGAUUUCUGGUGGGAGCGGUUGGUCUGCCCCGCGAGGGGUAGUUACUGAGCCGUAUCCGGCCCUUUUCGGGUUGACCGUGGCUGGCAUUAAUUUGUCGGUGCGGGAGGCCCGUCGUUUACUGUGAACAAAUUAGAGUGUUCAAAGCAGGGUGUUCUUGAAUACAUUAGCAUGGAAUAAUGAGAUAGGACUUUGGUGGUUCUCACUUUUUGUGGGAUAUUUUGUUGGUUUGCACGCCAAAGUAAUGAUUAAUAGGAGCAGUUGGGGGUAUUCGUAUUCAAUUGUCAGAGGUGAAAUUCUUGGAUUUCUAGAAGACGAACUACUGCGAAAGCAUUUACCAAGGAUGUUUUCAUUA
This 397-nucleotide ribosomal RNA is filed under the name uncultured eukaryote. RNAcentral describes it as "partial 18S ribosomal RNA". It matches the Rfam family "Eukaryotic small subunit ribosomal RNA", at positions 592 to 975 of the family's 1831-position model. The record is from RNAcentral.